GCAAAACGCGAAGAACCUUACCUAGGCUUGAACUCCUACGAAUCCGGGGUAAUGCCUGGAGUGUCCGCAAGGAAAUGUAGUGAGAGGUGCUGCAUGGCUGUCGUCAGCUCGUGUUGUGAAAUGUUGGGUUAAGUCUCGCAACGAGCGCAACCCCUAUCGUCUGUUGCCAGCAUUAAGUUGGGCACUCUGACGAGACUGCCUGGGUUAACCAGGAGGAAGGUGGGGAUGACGUCAAGUCCUCAUGGCCCUUAUGUCUAGGGCUACACACGUAAUACAAUGGCGCGUACAAAGGGAAGCGAACUCGCAAGGGGAAGCAAAUCUCAAAAAGCGCGCCUCAGUUCGGAUUGGAGUCUGCAACUCGACUCCAUGAAGUUGGAAUCGCUAGUAAUCGGAGAUCAGCACGCUCCGGUGAAUACGUUCCCGGGUCUUGUACACACCG
Molecule: ribosomal RNA, 439 nt
Filed under: uncultured bacterium
Lineage: Bacteria
Description: bacterial SSU rRNA
Rfam family: Bacterial small subunit ribosomal RNA
Source: RNAcentral